RNAcentral lists this ribosomal RNA (119 nucleotides) under Pteropus alecto (black flying fox). The record is from RNAcentral. Lineage: Eukaryota; Metazoa; Chordata; Mammalia; Chiroptera; Pteropodidae.
GUCUACGGCCAUGCCACCCUGAACAAACCCGAUCUCGUCUGAUCUUGGAAGCUAAGCAGGGUCGGGCCUGGUUAGUACUCGGAAGGGAGACCACCCAGGAAGACCAGGUGCUGCUGCGU